UGCAAGUCGAACGAGAAUCUACUGAAGGAGGAUUCGUCCAACGGAAGUAGAGGAAAGUGGCGGACGGGUGAGUAACGCGUGAGGAACCUGCCUUGAAGAGGGGGACAACAGUUGGAAACGACUGCUAAUACCGCAUGAAGCAUAGGGGUCGCAUGAUUCUUAUGCCAAAGAUUUAUCGCUUCAAGAUGGCCUCGCGUCUGAUUAGCUAGUUGGCGGGGUAACGGCCCACCAAGGCGACGAUCAGUAGCCGGACUGAGAGGUUGAACGGCCACAUUGGGACUGAGAUACGGCCCAGACUCCUACGGGAGGCAGCAGUGGGGAAUAUUGGGCAAUGGGCGCAAGCCUGACCCAGCAACGCCGCGUGAAGGAAGAAGGCUUUCGGGUUGUAAACUUCUUUUAAGAGGGAAGAGCAGAAGACGGUACCUCUAGAAUAAGCCACGGCUAACUACGUGCCAGCAGCCGCGGUAAUACGUAGGUGGCAAGCGUUGUCCGGAUUUACUGGGUGUAAAGGGCGUGCAGCCGGGUCUGCAAGUCAGAUGUGAAAUCCAUGGGCUCAACCCAUGAACUGCAUUUGAAACUGUAGAUCUUGAGUGUCGGAGGGGCAAUCGGAAUUCC
Molecule: ribosomal RNA, 615 nt
Filed under: uncultured bacterium
Lineage: Bacteria
Description: bacterial SSU rRNA
Rfam family: Bacterial small subunit ribosomal RNA
Source: RNAcentral